RNAcentral lists this unclassified non-coding RNA (526 nucleotides) under uncultured Basidiomycota. RNAcentral describes it as "sequence contains ITS1, 5.8S rRNA gene and ITS2". The stretch from base 143 to 296 matches the Rfam family "5.8S ribosomal RNA". Lineage: Eukaryota; Fungi; Basidiomycota. The record is from RNAcentral.
UAGGUGAACCUGCGGAAGGAUCAUUAGUGAAUUGCUCUUUGAGCGUUAACUACAUCCAUCUACACCUGUGAACUGUUGAUCAACUUCGGUUGAUUGCUUUACAAACAUUGUGUAAUGAACGUCAUGUUAUUAUAACAAAAAUAACUUUCAACAACGGAUCUCUUGGCUCUCGCAUCGAUGAAGAACGCAGCGAAAUGCGAUAAGUAAUGUGAAUUGCAGAAUUCAGUGAAUCAUCGAAUCUUUGAACGCAACUUGCGCUCUCUGGUAUUCCGGAGAGCAUGCCUGUUUGAGUAUCAUGAAAUCUCAACCAUUAGGGUUUCUUAAUGGCUUGGAUUUGGGCGUUGCCAGUAGCCUGGCUCGCCUUAAAAGAGUUAGCGUGUUUAACUUGUCGUAUCUGGCGUAAUAAGUUUCGCUGGAGUAGACUUGAGAAGUGCGCUUCUAAUUAUUUCUGACAAUUAAUGAAUUCUGGUCUCAAAAUCAUGUAAAUUACCUUUUUAUUUUUUAAUUAAAAAUGGAAAUAAUCUUA